This 253-nucleotide ribosomal RNA is filed under the name uncultured bacterium. RNAcentral's name for it is "partial 16S ribosomal RNA". It matches the Rfam family "Bacterial small subunit ribosomal RNA", at positions 524 to 776 of the family's 1533-position model. The record is from RNAcentral.
UACGAAGGGGGCUAGCGUUGCUCGGAAUCACUGGGCGUAAAGCGCACGUAGGCGGAUCUUUAAGUCAGGGGUGAAAUCCUGGAGCUCAACUCCAGAACUGCCUUUGAUACUGAGGAUCUCGAGUCCGGGAGAGGUGAGUGGAACUGCGAGUGUAGAGGUGAAAUUCGUAGAUAUUCGCAAGAACACCAGUGGCGAAGGCGGCUCACUGGCCCGGUACUGACGCUGAGGUGCGAAAGCGUGGGGAGCAAACAGG